AUGAGGGUCCACCCGGCCCCGCGGAAGCGCACCAUCGCCGUGCAGCGCUGCGCCGCGGCCGCCCUAAGCGCAGCGGGCGGCGCCAAGAAGCUGCGGCGCCUCUCGCACAUCUUCGCGAAGGUGCUCGAGCUCCCUUUCGCCGCCGACGCCGACGUCGCCGUCGAGGAGGACGCAGCGGAGCUCCGCUUCGUCGCCGCCACGGAAGGCUUCUCCCCAGGCGGCGCCUGCGCCCACGCCCUCGAGAUCCACCCUGGCGUCACCAAGGUCGUCGUACGGGACCUGUCCACCGGCAUCGGCGCCGAUGACCGCACCGCUACCUUCGAGCUCGAUCGGUGGCGGUUCCGUCUCCCGCCUUGCACGCGCCCCACCAUGGCCACAGCAACCUACGCCGAGGGCGAGCUCAUCGUCACCGUGCCCAAGGGUGCCGUUCCUGACGAGGGCGAUGGCAACGCUGACGGAGCCGCCAUCCUAGGAGGCUCCGGGGCCGAGAGGGUCCUCGUGUUUGUACAGUAA
This 513-nucleotide ribosomal RNA is filed under the name Triticum aestivum (bread wheat). RNAcentral's name for it is "partial small subunit ribosomal RNA". Lineage: Eukaryota; Viridiplantae; Streptophyta; Magnoliopsida; Poales; Poaceae. The record is from RNAcentral.